GGAAGAUUGCCAGAGUGGAUUAAUGGAACGGUCUUGAAAACCGUCGUAGAUGAAAUAUGCUACCGUAGGUUCGAAUCCUACAUCUUCCGCCA
This 92-nucleotide transfer RNA is filed under the name Caudoviricetes sp. RNAcentral describes it as "tRNA-Ser". It matches the Rfam family "tRNA". From Rfam's summary of the family: Transfer RNA (tRNA) molecules are approximately 80 nucleotides in length. The record is from RNAcentral. Lineage: Duplodnaviria; Heunggongvirae; Uroviricota; Caudoviricetes.